This is a non-coding RNA of Hypoxylon fuscum, 92 nucleotides long. The record is from the annotation of a GenBank genome assembly. Lineage: Eukaryota; Fungi; Ascomycota; Sordariomycetes; Xylariales; Hypoxylaceae.
GCCCCUAUGGCAAAGUGGUAACGCGUUGCACUCUUGCACUCGUAUGUGUACGAUCCAUGCAAAGAUCGCUGGUUCGAUUCCAGCUGGGGGCA